AAUCAACGCUGGCGGCGUGCCUAACACAUGCAAGUCGCGCGCGAAAGGGGGGCAACUCCCGAGUAAAGCGGCGAACGGGUGAGUAACACGUGGGUAAUCUACCUUCGAGUGGGGAACAACACCGGGAAACUGGUGCUAAUUCCGCAUGACAUCGUCGGGGCUUCGGUUCUGACGCUCAAAGCUGGGGAUCGCAAGACCUAGCGCUUGAAGAUGAGCCCGCGUCCGAUUAGCUAGNGGGUCGGGGGUAAUGGCCCACCAAGGCUUCGAUCGGUAGCCGGCCUGAGAGGGCGGGACGGCCACACUGGAACUGAGACACGGUCCAGACUCCUAC
Molecule: ribosomal RNA, 331 nt
Filed under: uncultured bacterium
Lineage: Bacteria
Description: bacterial SSU rRNA
Rfam family: Bacterial small subunit ribosomal RNA
Source: RNAcentral